UAGGGAAUCUUCGGCAAUGGACGAAAGUCUGACCGAGCAACGCCGCGUGAGUGAAGAAGGUUUUCGGAUCGUAAAACUCUGUUGUUAGAGAAGAACAAGGACGUUAGUAACUGAACGUCCCCUGACGGUAUCUAACCAGAAAGCCACGGCUAACUACGUGCCAGCAGCCGCGGUAAUACGUAGGUGGCAAGCGUUGUCCGGAUUUAUUGGGCGUAAAGCGAGCGCAGGCGGUUUCUUAAGUCUGAUGUGAAAGCCCCCGGCUCAACCGGGGAGGGUCAGUGGAAACUGGGAGACUUGAGUGCAGAAGAGGAGAGUGGAAUUCCAUGUGUAGCGGUGAAAUGCGUAGAUAUAUGGAGGAACACCAGUGGAGAAGGCGGCUCUCUGGUCUGUAACUGACGCUGAGGCUCGAAAGCGUGGGGAGCAAACAGG
This 429-nucleotide ribosomal RNA is filed under the name Gemmatimonadota bacterium. Its description in RNAcentral is "Gemmatimonadetes bacterium partial 16S ribosomal RNA". It matches the Rfam family "Bacterial small subunit ribosomal RNA", at positions 355 to 776 of the family's 1533-position model. The record is from RNAcentral. Lineage: Bacteria; Pseudomonadati; Gemmatimonadota.